GUAGGUGGCAAGCGUUGUCCGGAAUUACUGGGCGUAAAGCGCGCGCAGGCGGUCCUUUAAGUCUGAUGUGAAAGCCCACGGCUCAACCGUGGAGGGUCAUUGGAAACUGGGGGACUUGAGUACAGAAGAGGAAAGCGGAAUUCCAAGUGUAGCGGUGAAAUGCGUAGAGAUUUGGAGGAACACCAGUGGCGAAGGCGGCUUUCUGGUCUGUAACUGACGCUGAGGCGCGAAAGCGUGGGGAGCAAACAGGGAUUAGAUACCCUGGUAGUCCACGCCGUAAACGAUGAGUGCUAAGUGUUAGGGGGUUUCCCGCCCCUUAGUGCUGCAGCUAACGCAUUAAGCACUCCGCCUGGGGAGUACGGCCGCAAGGCUG
This 373-nucleotide ribosomal RNA is filed under the name uncultured organism. RNAcentral describes it as "partial 16S ribosomal RNA". It matches the Rfam family "Bacterial small subunit ribosomal RNA", at positions 527 to 896 of the family's 1533-position model. The record is from RNAcentral.